CGGGGCGUAGCGCAGUCUGGUAGCGCACCUGUAUGGGGUGCAGGUGGUCGCAGGUUCAAAUCCUGCCGUCCCGA
This 74-nucleotide transfer RNA is filed under the name Marinobacter lutaoensis. It matches the Rfam family "tRNA". From Rfam's summary of the family: Transfer RNA (tRNA) molecules are approximately 80 nucleotides in length. Their secondary structure includes four short double-helical elements and three loops (D, anti-codon, and T loops). Further hydrogen bonds mediate the characteristic L-shaped molecular structure. tRNAs have two regions of fundamental functional importance: the anti-codon, which is responsible for specific mRNA codon recognition, and the 3' end, to which the tRNAs corresponding amino acid is attached (by aminoacyl-tRNA synthetases). tRNAs cope with the degeneracy of the genetic code in two manners: having more than one tRNA (with a specific anti-codon) for a particular amino acid; and 'wobble' base-pairing, i.e. permitting non-standard base-pairing at the 3rd anti-codon position. The record is from Rfam by way of RNAcentral. RNAcentral also lists the same sequence under 2 other names. Lineage: Bacteria; Pseudomonadati; Pseudomonadota; Gammaproteobacteria; Pseudomonadales; Marinobacteraceae.